UAGGGAAUAUUGGUCAAUGGGGGCAACCCUGAACCAGCCAUGCCGCGUGUAGGAAGACGGCCUUCUGGGUUGUAAACUACUUUUAUAUGGGAAGAAAUGAUCCUUGCGAGGAUAGCUGACGGUACCAUACGAAUAAGCACCGGCUAACUCCGUGCCAGCAGCCGCGGUAAUACGGAGGGUGCAAGCGUUGUCCGGAAUUAUUGGGUUUAAAGGGUGCGUAGGCGGUCUUUUAAGUCAGAGCUGAAAUCCCACUGCUUAACAGUGGAACUGGCUUUGAUACUGGAAGACUUGAGUAUAGUAGAGGUAGGCGGAAUUUAUGGUGUAGCGGUGAAAUGCAUAGAUACCAUAAAGAACACCAAUUGCGUAGGCAGCUUACUGGGCUAUAACUGACGCUGAGGCACGAAAGCGUGGGGAGCGAACA
This 421-nucleotide ribosomal RNA is filed under the name uncultured bacterium. RNAcentral's name for it is "bacterial SSU rRNA". It matches the Rfam family "Bacterial small subunit ribosomal RNA", at positions 355 to 774 of the family's 1533-position model. The record is from RNAcentral.